RNAcentral lists this antisense RNA (75 nucleotides) under Mycobacterium saskatchewanense. Its description in RNAcentral is "ASpks TB sRNA". It matches the Rfam family "ASpks TB sRNA". Lineage: Bacteria; Bacillati; Actinomycetota; Actinomycetes; Mycobacteriales; Mycobacteriaceae. The record is from Rfam by way of RNAcentral.
UUUGAUCGAGCCCAACCACAGCGGCCGGUCGGCCGGUCGGCCCCGCCCGUACGUAGCCAGCAGCGCCUGGGCCUC